CUUCCUUGAUCCAAAGACCACAUCUAAGAUCCAUGUACUUGGCAACAAGUAUCAAAGCAAAUUGCUAGAAGUGAUUGAUGCUAGUGAGUUGCCAGAGUUUUUAGGAGGUACUUGUACCUGUGCUGAUAAUGGAGGCUGCAUGCAUUCUGAUAAGGGUCCAUGGAAGGAUCCAGAUAU
Non-coding RNA from Arachis ipaensis, 177 nucleotides. The record is from RefSeq and is a predicted model, not a curated record. Lineage: Eukaryota; Viridiplantae; Streptophyta; Magnoliopsida; Fabales; Fabaceae.